This 253-nucleotide ribosomal RNA is filed under the name uncultured bacterium. RNAcentral's name for it is "partial 16S ribosomal RNA". It matches the Rfam family "Bacterial small subunit ribosomal RNA", at positions 524 to 776 of the family's 1533-position model. The record is from RNAcentral.
UACGAAGGGGGCGAGCGUUGUUCGGAAUUACUGGGCGUAAAGGGCGCGUAGGCGGCGCGAGAAGUCGAGUGUGAAAGCCCCGGGCUCAACCUGGGAAUUGCCUUUAAGACUGCAUCGCUUGAACAUCGGAGAGGUAAGUGGAAUUCCGAGUGUAGAGGUGAAAUUCGUAGAUAUUCGGAAGAACACCAGUGGCGAAGGCGACUUACUGGACGAUUGUUGACGCUGAGGUGCGAAAGCGUGGGGAGCAAACAGG